AACGAACGCUGGCGGCAUGCCUAACACAUGCAAGUCGAACGAGACCUUCGGGUCUAGUGGCGCACGGGUGCGUAACACGUGGGAAUUUGCCUCGGGGUAUGGAAUAACUCAGGGAAACUUGAGCUAAUACCAUAUAAUGUCUUCGGACCAAAGAUUUAUCGCCCUGAGAUAAGCCCGCGUAGGAUUAGCUAGUUGGUGAGGUAAAGGCUCACCAAGGCGACGAUCCUUAGCUGGUCUGAGAGGAUGAUCAGCCACACUGGGACUGAGACACGGCCCAGACUCCUACGGGAGGCAGCAGUGGGGAAUAUUGGACAAAUGGGCGAAAGCCUGAUCCAGCAAUGCCGCGUGAGUGAUGAAGGCCUUCGGUUGG
RNAcentral lists this ribosomal RNA (370 nucleotides) under uncultured bacterium. RNAcentral's name for it is "bacterial SSU rRNA". It matches the Rfam family "Bacterial small subunit ribosomal RNA", at positions 29 to 426 of the family's 1533-position model. The record is from RNAcentral.